Molecule: long non-coding RNA, 604 nt
Filed under: Corvus moneduloides (New Caledonian crow)
Lineage: Eukaryota; Metazoa; Chordata; Aves; Passeriformes; Corvidae
Description: lncRNA (ENSCMUG00000019647.1)
Source: RNAcentral
GUGAGAGCCCUGGCUGACCUAAGAAUUAGAAGGGAGUGUCAUGAUGAAUGUUCUGGUGCUUUGAGAUCUCUUAGCUCCUAAGUCUCAAGGGCAUAGCAGUACUCCAGGAUCAGGGUUUGGCUUUACUAAAACUUGAAGACAGGAGUCGCCUGUGCAGGUCAUGGCAAACAUUACUCUGAUAAAUACUUUUGGCCUGAUAUUUAGCUCAAUUUAUUCAGUCAACCCAAGCUAAGAAUGUCCUCUUUUGCGUUACAGAGCCACUUGUGAAGGAAUGAGCGUCUCCCCUGGGGACAGCAGUGACCAGCAGUGACAAACCCAGCCACGAACUGACCUUGCUGUAUGUCUCCCAUGGGAGAGGUGAUGGGUGUGCAGAGACAGGCACUGAGCAUCUCUGAAAGGUUUCUGAGAAAAGAGCCAGAAAUCAAACCUGGAACUUGUUGCUGCUAAUCAAAUCAUGACAGAAAGAGAAACCUACCACAGGAGCUGGAGCUUCAUGAUUUCUAUCAAAAGGGCUCUACUCCUGCAUCUGAGCACCAUUUUAUCCCGGAGUGGUGGGGGACGUAUCGGUGCUAUUCCAAAGAAAAACUCUCAAUUAGGAUUUCAG